GAUGAAGAACGUAGCGAAAUGCGAUAAGUAAUGCGAAUUGCAGAAUUCAGUGAGUCAUCGAAUCUUUGAACGCACAUUGCGCCCUGUGGUAUUCCGCAGGGCAUGCCUGUUCGAGCGUCAUUUCAACCCUCAAGCCUCGCUUGGUGUUGGGCCCUGCCCGCCGCGGCCGGCCCUAAAGAUAGUGGCGGCGCCGUCUGGCCCUCAGCGUAGUACAGCUCUCGCUCCAGGGUCCGGCGGUAGCCUGCCAGAACCCCCCAACUCUGUGGUUGACCUCGGAUCAGGUAGGGAUACCCGCUGAACUUAAGCAUAUCAAUAAGCGGAGGA
This 324-nucleotide unclassified non-coding RNA is filed under the name soil metagenome. RNAcentral's name for it is "partial contains 5.8S ribosomal RNA, internal transcribed spacer 2, and large subunit ribosomal RNA". The stretch from base 1 to 120 matches the Rfam family "5.8S ribosomal RNA", at positions 35 to 154 of the family's 154-position model. The record is from RNAcentral.